GCCGAGUGAAAUUAGGCAAAAGAUUUUUAAUCUUUUUACGGUUUUAAUAAACC
This 53-nucleotide transfer RNA is filed under the name Achatinella sowerbyana. Its description in RNAcentral is "tRNA-Leu". Lineage: Eukaryota; Metazoa; Mollusca; Gastropoda; Stylommatophora; Achatinellidae. The record is from RNAcentral.